Molecule: long non-coding RNA, 3246 nt
Filed under: Cricetulus griseus (Chinese hamster)
Lineage: Eukaryota; Metazoa; Chordata; Mammalia; Rodentia; Cricetidae
Description: lncRNA (ENSCGRG00000024279.1)
Source: RNAcentral
AUCUGCCGCGACGUGGACUGCGACCACGGCCUGUGACGUCAGCGCGUCACCCACCGCGUCAUCGCCCGUGUCGUCAUCACCAGCGAGUGACGUCAUCAUAACCGUCAAUAUACAUACACACACAUCAUCUGCGCGCUGAUCCUGUACGUGAUCCUGGGGUACAUCUGCCGCGACGUGGACUGCGACCACGGCCUGUGACGUCAGCGCGUCACCCACCGCGUCAUCGCCCGUGUCGUCAUCACCAGCGAGUGACGUCAUCAUAACCGUCAAUAUACAUACACACACAUCAUCUGCGCGCUGAUCCUGUACGUGAUCCUGGGGUACAUCUGCCGCGACGUGGACUGCGACCACGGCCUGUGACGUCAGCGCGUCACCCACCGCGUCAUCGCCCGUGUCGUCAUCACCAGCGAGUGACGUCAUCAUAACCGUCAAUAUACAUACACACACAUCAUCUGCGCGCUGAUCCUGUACGUGAUCCUGGGGUACAUCUGCCGCGACGUGGACUGCGACCACGGCCUGUGACGUCAGCGCGUCGCCCACCGCGUCAUCGCCCGCGUCGUCAUCCCCAGCGAGUGACGUCAUCGCCACCGUCACUAUAUAUAUACGCACAUAGACCAUCCGCCCCUGUACGUGAGCCUGGGGUUCAUCUGCCGCGACGUGGACGGCGCCCACGGCCUGUGACGUCGGCGCGUCACCCACCGCGUCAUCGCCCGCGUCGUCAUCCCCAGCGAGUGACGUCAUCGCCACCGUCACUAUAUAUAUACGCACAUAGACCAUCCGCCCCUGUACGUGAUCCUGGGGUUCAUCUGCCGCGACGUGGACUGCGACCACGGGCUCUGACGUCAGCGCGUCACCCACCGCGUCAUCUCCCGUGUCGUCAUCACCAGCGAGUGACGUCAUCGCCACCGUCAAUAUAUAUAUAUAUGCACACACAGACCAUCCGCCCACUGAUCCUGUAUGUGAUCCUGUGGUUCAUCUGCCGCGACGUGGACUGCGACCACGGGCCGCAACGUCAGUGCGUGACGUUGACGUCAUCACCAGUGUCGUCAUCGUGUCGUCAUCACAUCAUCACCGUAUAUAUGCACACAUAGAUCAUCUUAAUGCUGUACGUGAUCCUGUGCUUCAUCUGCCACGACGUGGAGUGCGACCACAGGCUGUGACGUCAGCGCGUCAUCCACCGCGUCAUCACCCGUGUCGUCAUCACCAGUGAGUGACGUCAUCAUCAAUAUAUAUACACACAUAGAUCAUCCGCCUGCUGAUCCUGUACGUGAUCCUGUGCUUCAUCUGCCGCGACGUGGACUGCGACCACGGGCUGUGACGUCAGCGCGNNNNNNNNNNNNNNNNNNNNNNNNNNNNNNNNNNNNNNNNNNNNNNNNNNNNNNNNNNNNNNNNNNNNNNNNNNAUCCGCCCGCUGUACGUGACCCUGUGGUUCAUCGGCCUCUGACGUCAGGACGUCAUCCAUCGCGUCAUCCGUCAGUGAGUGACGUCAUCAUCAAAACAUCACCGUAUAUGUACACACAUAGAUCAUCCGCCCCCUGGUCCUGUACGUGAUCCUGUUAUACAUUUGCCGCGACGUCGACUGUGACCACCGGCUGUGAGGUCAGCGCGCGAGGGUGACGUCAUUAUCCGUGUCGUCAUCAUCAGUGAGUGACGUCGUCAUACAUAAAUAUGCAUAGAUACAGAUCAUCCGCCUGCUGUAUGUGACCCUGUGGUUCAUCUGACUCAACGUCGACUGUGAGACGUCGACUGCGACCCCGGCCUCUGACGUCACGACGUCAGCCAGUGACGUCAUCCGUCAGUGACGUCAUCGUCACAUCAAUAUAGAUAUAGAUCAUCCGCCCACUGACCCUGUGGUUCAUCUACUGUGACCUGCACUGCUCUGUCGUCAUGACGUAACACGCUACGUCAUCUCACGUCAUCAUCAGACUCAGAUCUACCGCGACCUGUCAUUUGGCGUCAGUGGGACACGGCUGCCGCAUCCCAGUGACGUCAUCAGUAACGUCGCUCAUCUGCUGUGACGCUGACUGACACCGCAACCUGUGACACCAUCACGGACGAGGGCAGCGAGGGCGUCUGUGACGUCAGAGAGUGACAGUCCAGGUCGGUGUCCCGCAGAGAGUGUGACGUCAGACAACAGUCCCGCCCCGCCGUGGGGUCUCCGACACACACGUGGGAGGUCAGAGUGACCCCAGGGUGACGUCAGCGCAGAGCGACCACCGAGUGACCCCAGAGUGACUUCAGCACAGAGUGAUCCCAGAGUGACGUCAGCACAGAGUGACCCCAGAGUGACGUCAGGGAAGAGGGACCCCAGAGUGACCCCAGAGUGACGUCAGCGAUACCCCGUACCGACCGCGAGCCCAGGACCUGACGUACAGGUGAGUGACCAGGUGACGCAGGCAGAGUUAUGCAAAUGAGUUUGGGUGACCUCAACGUGACCCCUGACGUCACCCUCGAGGCCACCUGGACCCCUCCCUGGAGGCGACCCCCUACCUCAGCUCCUACGUCAGCAGUGCGGGCAGCUGGUUCCUGCGGAGCCAUCAUAAUUCAUGCAAAUUCAUGCAAAUUUAUGCAGAUUUAUGAAAAUUAACGCUGACGAGGGUGAUCUGAGCUGCGGAGACGAUGAACGCAAAUCUCCGCGGCUCCCGCUCGCUCCUCACUGAGCGCAGUGACCUCACGUGACCUCAUGCGACCUCACGUGACCCCUCGAAGGGCAGCAGCGUUCUGCUAAUUAAGAACUCAUUAUGCUCAUUCAUGCUGAUUCCCAUUAACUGGAUGACGUCAUUGGGGUGGGAACAGUGCCCAGCAUGACCUUGCGGCGACCCCCGGGUGACAACUGUGACGUCACCACCCUCCUCCUCCACCCCCGCCAGGUGACCCCGGUGACAUCAUCGCGACCCUGAGAUGGGUGGCGGAGACCCCGUGUGACCCCCGUGUGACAUCACCGAGACCCCAGCGACGUCAGCACUAAUCCCGGAGCCCAGGUGAGGGUGCGAAUGGGCGCCGUGACCCCUCUGACCUUGUGACGUCACAGGGCACUGCGGAUCCUCAUUGGCGUAAUAUGCUGACGCAUUUGCAUAUCCGUUACCCCAGCGGCCGGGGUGGCUUCCGGUCUCUUUUACAUGUCAUUUGCAUGGCUCCUCCCCCAGGGUCCGCCAGGCAUCCCGGUCAUUUGCAUACGAUUUAAACGCUGUCAUUUUAACCCAAAGGGAACGCGGAGCCGCCUCAUUUGCAUGUCCCCGCCCCCGU